Molecule: ribosomal RNA, 460 nt
Filed under: uncultured bacterium
Lineage: Bacteria
Description: partial 16S ribosomal RNA
Rfam family: Bacterial small subunit ribosomal RNA
Source: RNAcentral
CCUACGGGUGGCAGCAGUGAGGAAUAUUGGUCAAUGGACGCAAGUCUGAACCAGCCAUGCCGCGUGCAGGAAGACGGCUCUAUGAGUUGUAAACUGCUUUUGUACGAGGGUAAACGCAGACACGCGUAUCUUUCUGCAAGUACUUUACGAAUAAGGAUCGGCUAACUCCGUGCCAGCAGCCGCGGUAAUACGGAGGAUUCAAGCGUUAUCCGGAUUUAUUGGGUUUAAAGGGUGCGUAGACGGUCGGUUAAGUUAGUGGUGAAAGCUCGAGGCUCAACCUUGAAAUUGCAACUGAUACUGGUAGUCUUGAGAGCAGUUGCGGUAGGCGGAAUGUAUGGUGUAGCGGUGAAAUGCUUAGAGAUCAUACAGAACCCCGAUUGCGAAGGCAGCUUACCAAGCUGCUUCUGACAUUGAGGCUCGAAAGCGUGGGGAGCAAACAGGAUUAGAUACCCGUGUAGUC